Molecule: transfer RNA, 70 nt
Filed under: Loxodonta africana (African savanna elephant)
Lineage: Eukaryota; Metazoa; Chordata; Mammalia; Proboscidea; Elephantidae
Rfam family: tRNA
About the family: Transfer RNA (tRNA) molecules are approximately 80 nucleotides in length.
Source: Rfam by way of RNAcentral
GCAGUGGUGUUCAGUGGUAGAAUUCUCACCUUCCACAUGGGAGACCCAGGUUCAAUUCCUGGCCUAUGUA